CGCGCAUGUGCGGCGGCUGGCGCUGGUUUCCGUAAGGCAAGGGCGCCCUGCUCCAGCAGUGGCCAUGGCGCGGCGCGUCGUGAAGGGGCUGCUGCUGAUGGAGGCGGCCGGGCUGCUCGGCGCCCUCCUGCUCUUCCGCGCCAUGGACCGCAGCCAAGAUUUCAGAUACACAAUGCAGAAGAGGUUUCCAUCAAUUCUGGAAGUGUAUUACAAAUCCAAUGAGUGGUCUGGAAUUCAUGGCAUAAGGGAGAAUGACCAAAUGACAUGGUUAAGCAGCAAGAACUGAACCCUCUGUAUCUGAACUGUUUCUUUCUUCUGAUGAUGCUUUUCACAUCCCUAUUGUGAAGCCACUUGUCACGCUCGAUUUCCCACUGGAUCUGUUUGACAUCUGUAAGAAGAAAGG
Long non-coding RNA from Dryobates pubescens (Downy woodpecker), 403 nucleotides. RefSeq lists it as uncharacterized. The record is from RefSeq and is a predicted model, not a curated record. Lineage: Eukaryota; Metazoa; Chordata; Aves; Piciformes; Picidae. The transcript is spliced from 4 exons.